UACGUAGGGUGCGAGCGUUGUCCGGAAUUAUUGGGCGUAAAGAGCUUGUAGGCGGUUUGUCGCGUCUGCUGUGAAAAUCCGGGGCUCAACCCCGGACUUGCAGUGGAUACGGGCAGACUAGAGUGUGGUAGGGGAGACUGGAAUUCCUGGUGUAGCGGUGAAAUGCGCAGAUAUCAGGAGGAACACCGAUGGCGAAGGCAGGUCUCUGGGCCACUACUGACGCUGAGAAGCGAAAGCAUGGGGAGCGAACAGG
RNAcentral lists this ribosomal RNA (253 nucleotides) under uncultured bacterium. RNAcentral's name for it is "partial 16S ribosomal RNA". It matches the Rfam family "Bacterial small subunit ribosomal RNA", at positions 524 to 776 of the family's 1533-position model. The record is from RNAcentral.